UACGUAGGGUGCAAGCGUUAAUCGGAAUUACUGGGCGUAAAGCGUGCGCAGGCGGUUGUGCAAGACAGAUGUGAAAUCCCCGGGCUUAACCUGGGAAUUGCAUUUGUGACUGCACGGCUAGAGUGUGUCAGAGGGGGGUAGAAUUCCACGUGUAGCAGUGAAAUGCGCAGAUAUGUGGAGGAAUACCGAUGGCGAAGGCAGCCCCCUGGGAUAACACUGACGCUCAUGCACGAAAGCGUGGGGAGCAAACAGG
This 253-nucleotide ribosomal RNA is filed under the name uncultured bacterium. Its description in RNAcentral is "partial 16S ribosomal RNA". It matches the Rfam family "Bacterial small subunit ribosomal RNA", at positions 524 to 776 of the family's 1533-position model. The record is from RNAcentral.